This 265-nucleotide unclassified non-coding RNA is filed under the name Stachybotryaceae sp. RNAcentral describes it as "Stachybotriaceae sp. partial contains 5.8S ribosomal RNA, internal transcribed spacer 2, and large subunit ribosomal RNA". Lineage: Eukaryota; Fungi; Ascomycota; Sordariomycetes; Hypocreales; Stachybotryaceae. The record is from RNAcentral.
CGCACAUUGCGCCCGCCAGCAUUCUGGCGGGCAUGCCUGUCCGAGCGUCAUUUCAACCCUCAGAUCCCCCUUUAGGGGGGGAGCUGGUGUUGGGGAUCGGCCCGCCUCCGCGCGGCGCCGUCCCCCAAAUACAGUGGCGGUCUCGCUGCAGCCUCCCCUGCGUAGUAGCAACACUCGCAUGCGGAGCGCGGCGCGGCCACGCCGUAAAACCCCCGACUUUCUGAACGUUGACCUCGGAUCAGGUAGGAAUACCCGCUGAACUUAA